This 393-nucleotide ribosomal RNA is filed under the name uncultured bacterium. RNAcentral's name for it is "partial 16S ribosomal RNA". It matches the Rfam family "Bacterial small subunit ribosomal RNA", at positions 523 to 918 of the family's 1533-position model. The record is from RNAcentral.
AUACGGAGGAUCCGAGCGUUAUCCGGAUUUAUUGGGUUUAAAGGGAGCGUAGGCGGACGCUUAAGUCAGUUGUGAAAGUUUGCGGCUCAACCGUAAAAUUGCAGUUGAUACUGGGUGUCUUGAGUACAGUAGAGGCAGGCGGAAUUCGUGGGGUAGCGGUGAAAUGCUUAGAUAUCACGAAGAACUCCGAUUGCGAAGGCAGCCUGCGGGACUGUAACUGACGCUGAUGCUCGAAAGUGUGGGUAUCAAACAGGAUUAGAUACCCUGGUAGUCCACACAGUAAACGAUGAAUACUCGCUGUUUGCGAUAUACAGUAAGCGGCCAAGCGAAAGCGUUAAGUAUUCCACCUGGGGAGUACGCCGGCAACGGUGAAACUUAAAGGAAUUGACGGGG